GAUGAACGCUGGCGGCGUGCCUAAUACAUGCAAGUCGAGCGAACAGACGAGGAGCUUGCUCCUCUUACGUUAGCGGCGGACGGGUGAGUAACACGUGGAUAAUCUACCUAUAAGACUGGGAUAACUUCGGGAAACCGGAGCUAAUACCGGAUAAUAUAUUGAACCGCAUGGUUCAUUAGUGAAAGACGGUUUUGCUGUCACUUAUAGAUGGAUCCGCGCCGCAUUAGCUAGUUGGUAAGGUAACGGCUUACCAAGGCAACGAUGCGUAGCCGACCUGAGAGGGUGAUCGGCCACACUGGCACUGAGACACGGUCACGACUCCUACGGGAGGCAGCAGUAGGGAAUCUUCCGCAAUGGGCGAAAGCUUGACGGAGCAACGCCGCGUGAGUGAUGAAGGUCUUCGGAUCGUAAAACUCUGUUAUUAGGGAAGAACAAAUGUGUAAGUAACUAUGCACGUCUUGACGGUACCUAAUCAGAAAGCCACGGCUAACUACGUG
This 497-nucleotide ribosomal RNA is filed under the name uncultured bacterium. Its description in RNAcentral is "partial 16S ribosomal RNA". It matches the Rfam family "Bacterial small subunit ribosomal RNA", at positions 28 to 507 of the family's 1533-position model. The record is from RNAcentral.